This 536-nucleotide ribosomal RNA is filed under the name Ophiclinus antarcticus (Adelaide snakeblenny). RNAcentral describes it as "partial 16S ribosomal RNA". It matches the Rfam family "Bacterial large subunit ribosomal RNA", at positions 1905 to 2594 of the family's 2925-position model. Lineage: Eukaryota; Metazoa; Chordata; Actinopteri; Blenniiformes; Clinidae. The record is from RNAcentral.
CUGUGAUCAUAAAUUUUAACGGCCGCGGUAUUUUGACCGUGCAAAGGUAGCGCAAUCACUUGUCUUUUAAAUGAAGACCUGUAUGAAUGGCAUAACGAGGGCUUAACUGUCUCCCUUCUUUAGUCAAUGAAAUUGAUUUCCCAGUGCAGAAGCAGGGAUAAGAGCAUAAGACGAGAAGACCCUGUGGAGCUUUAAACCCCAAAACAGACCAUAUUAAACACCCCUCCCCCAAAAAGCUAAAAUAACUAGGAUACUGCUUUGUUGUUUUUGGUUGGGGCGACCACGGGGCAAUAAAUAACCCCCACGUAGAAGGAAAGCACAAUCUUUCUAAGACAAGGCUUACAAGCCUAAAGAACAGAACUUCUGACUAACCACGAUCCUGUAAAACCGAUCAACGAACCGAGUUACCCCAGGGAUAACAGCGCAAUCCUCUUCCAGAGCCCAUAUCGCCAAGAGGGUUUACGACCUCGAUGUUGGAUCAGGACCCCCUAAUGGUGCAGCCGCUAUAAAGGGUUCGUUUGUUCAACGAUUAAAGU